CGGACGGAUUGGUUGGUUGGUAGGUUGGUUGGUUGGUUGGUUGGUUGGUUGGUUGGUUGGUUGAUUGGUUGGUUGGUUGGUUGGUUGGUUGGUUGGUUGAUUGGUUGAUUGGAUGGAUGGUUAAUUGAUUGAUUCGUCGAGGAUUAUUUAGCAAUAAGAAUGAAAACUCUUCGCGUGGGCCCUUCGCAUCUGGAGCACCAUACCAAAGAAGUGACGAAGAGUUAUACAAACAAACCUUCGACUUCACAGGACGAAAUGAAACCGCAUUACCUAUAAAUUGCGGAAGUUGACUUGAUGUAUCACCCAACAAAGAGAGAGUUCCUUGCAACAGCUGCAGCUGGGAUAUCCAUUUUUCCACUCAUGCGAAGACGCUGCCGGGGACCAAAGUGGAACCUUGGCGUUAAAGUAACCGAAGCAACGUCAUCGUCAAGACCAACAAGGAGGGCAACGGAGAAUGGAUCAACGAAAAUGUCGCACCGUUAACAUUACACACUACUGACACAUGUUGUUAUCGCGGUGCGUGAAGAAAGCUGCCCCUACAGCCUUUCGGAGAAAAACCAAGUAAAAUUGGUGGGUAAAGACAAGAUGGGUAAGAAAGCAAUAAAUAUAACGAAGAAACAAAGAAAUGGCAACAACAACAUCAACGACAAACGACGAAAACACUCAAAAAUGUCAAGGCACAAUUGUUAUGGUGUUUGGAGUGCGCGCUGUUAUUCGGGAAUCGGGAAGAUUUCGAAAAUGAUGUACAUUUUAUCCUUUUGCAUACAGGCAUAAAUUUUCGUGCCUAUAACUAGUACACAUAGAUGUACGUGUAUACCGUCGGCACUAUGCGAAUUAAGGACUAUUGUACAAUAUGAAAGUACGGCCGUGAAAAAAUGUAUGUGAACAUCAGCAACUAUGCCUGUAUAAUAUAUGUAUAAAUAAUAUACGUGUGUGUAUAUAUGGGCGGUUUAAUGCACGAGGCGAAUAGGGAGGAGGAAACAGCCAUUACAAUUCUUUCAGGGAUUUUUAUUUUAUCAUGAAUGUAAUAACGUGUGAGUGAGCAUGUGUCGAAUUAUACUAUUAAUGAUAAGUAAUAAAUGACCGAUUAAGGAUAUGUAUACGUAUAAUAUAUGUACAUGCCAAAUGUAUUGUAUAUAUACAGCGUGGCGCGAGGGAUGAAUGAGAAUAUCAAUAUUCCUCUGGACGACAUAUUAUUUAUACGGCUGCGCGGUGAAAAAUUUGGUAUUAUGUCGGAAUGGAACGAUUGGCAGGAAAAUUACCAACAAUGUCGAGUCGAGAAAACCAAAUGAAUGGAUUUACGGAUUAAACCAAGAUAUCCGGGAUUCGGGGUAAGGUUUACAAACUACCUUGUGUUCCUCGCGCCCCGAGCGACUAUAUUAUAUGUAUAAGAUUUAUGGGGGAGUAGCGGUUAGGGAUGCGAAAAAAAUGUUGAAAAAUUUGCGUAAUUAUAUAUCGAUGAGGGGGGACUGGUGAGGAUGAAUCAUUCGAUUUCAUAUUAUACAAACGGGUGAUUUUUUGGCGAUUUACAAGAUUUCCGAAAACUCCCGUACCAAAUUGGACUGAAGUACCAUCCAUCGUUUCACCAGAAGCGGUUACAUCGGUCGCAUAAUACAUACAUACAUAUAUAUUAACCCCAGUAUACAUAUAUAUGUAUGAAUAAAGAGUUUUGCGCUGGCUUAUUCGAGUAUCGAUUAACCGCCCAAGGGACUCGGUGGUACGCUCUUAGUACAAAGAUUAAAAUACGAGUUUAAGGAAACGGCUGCAAGUUUUGGGGUAGAGUAUAACGAGGGUGAACGGAAGUCGGGAGUUGACCAGGUUAUCGGGGUGGGUGCAGCAGCAGACUGAUUUUCGUUACGUGCGAUGUGUUUUAAUCAGUUAUUACAUCAUGCUCCGCAUCGCCUGGGAACUUCCGGUUACCAUGUCUGAGACGGAAGGGAUAUUUGAAUAUAAGUGAAAUUUUAUCGAAAAGAGAUAUGAAAAUUAAGAGAGAGUAGUAAGGAGAAAAAAUAUAUAAGUUUAUUUUUGAUACAUUGUUGGGGAGAUCUUCAAGUGAAUCUCUCUUUUUUUUUCACUAUUAUUGAUAUGGUUUUUCCUUUUUCCAUUUAAGAAAUUAUUUUUUCUUUUUAAUUGAUUAUUUUCAAUUUUUUUUUUUUUUUUUCUCUAACUAGAUGUUUCAAAUAACUUAAUGAAGUUUAAAAAAUAUUAAGAGAAAAAAAAAAUGGAAGAAGAACACACGUUGCAAUUUGAAAAAAGUAAUUGAAUAAAAAUAAAAAUGCGAGGAGAAAUUUUAAUAUAAAUUUAAACGUAAAAAAUUAAAAAACAAAAAAAAAAAAAGAAACGAAUUGAUAAAUUCGUGAAAGAAAUGGCACAUAGCUUUUUGCACUAUGUGGGAACAAAAGGAGAUUUUUAGUCGGAUAAAUUGUAUAAUAUAUUUAAUAUAAUAUAUACGGUGAUGAAACCGGUUUUUAGUAGCGGCGGUUUUGUAAAUUGACGAUGGCUGGCGCCUGCGUGGUAACCUAGCCGGGCUCACAGUUUUAUGUGAUCCGAUAGCUUGGGGAAACGUGGACGCCCCCCAUCCGGUACGGUUCUAAGCCGUCGCCGCAAUAGCUGGUGUGGCCGCCAAGUUUAUUUAUCAAGCGCGAAUAUAAAAAAUGUUUGAAAAAAACGAGAAAAGCGAAAAAAAAUAUGAAUAAAUAAUUAAAUAAAUUCUAAAAAAUAAAUACAGUGCCAAGGAACAAAUAACAAGCAUGAUAACAUCAACAACUCGCAAAUUCAUCGAAGAUCCAGCCGGACACAACGGCACGUAUGGUUAUCAACUUAAACACAGCCCGCAAGCCGACUGCGGUCUGAUUCACAGUUAAAUUUGAAGAAAUGAAAAAAACAUUUAGGCCUCGUAAGAAGCAAAAAAAGAAAAGACAAAAAGAAGAAAAACAAUUUUUAACCCUCCUUCCACGUCAUUGAAAAAUUUACAUCCCAAUGAAACAUUGACAGUUAUAUGAGUACCAUUAGCUGCAUCAAGUUAUAGUCCAAACUUUACAACUAUUUAAUAUUCUACAUUCGACAAAUCUAUGUUUAUUAUGAUCGCUUCGUUACGCAAAAUCUAAUCCACUCACAAAAUAAUACGAUGUAUUAGGCAUACGUGCAGGGUUAGUAAUUCCUUAUCGCUGAUGUAACGAUAUAUCGCGAGAGCCGUGUGACAACGCCUAAUUCUAUAAAGCAAAGCUCUGCACUAUGUCACAAGGCAAAGUUUACUACCGAAUCGCUUUGUUUCACCCUUCUAGGAGAACAACUUGUGUGGGCUUUGGGUAGUGACAUUAGGGUUUGUUAAGGUAUAGUGGAAUUAUUGUCUCUGCACUCUGUGGCGUAAUGCGUUCGAGAAUGAGAGGAGAAAAAUCAACGGAAAAAAAGCUAUAACUCUACAUUCAAAUUUCACUCUCUUUCAGGACAUAUCUCUCGAGGAAUAAGAAAAAAAAAUCGCUAGCAACAGCAAAAUGAUGGUGAUAGAAAUUAAAAAAAAAAUCUGCCCCAUACAAUGCUUUCGUUUGAAUUAGGAAGGCUCCGAAUCCUUUGAAUGUACAUACUACUAGCUUAAUUCUUAAACUCAUAAAGCAAAGGAUAAAAAUGAAAUGAUAUGCCCGAUAUGUAUGAAAACCCGCGACAUCAAGGAACCAGCAAAAUUUCAUUAAAAACACCACGAUUUGAACACUAAUACAAGAAAACGAAACAAAAACUAGACCGUAUAAAGCGGAGAAACCAGAUCUUGGAAAAAAAAAACUAACUCCUCACCUCAGCAUUUUAGACACGAACAACACAC
This 3817-nucleotide long non-coding RNA is filed under the name Neodiprion pinetum (white pine sawfly). RNAcentral's name for it is "uncharacterized LOC124216323". Lineage: Eukaryota; Metazoa; Arthropoda; Insecta; Hymenoptera; Diprionidae. The record is from RNAcentral.